GAAGAUAUAUAUGUAAUCACAAUAAACUGUUACAACACUAAACGCAAAUGCUAAACAAUCAAGCUGCAGACAAACAUGUGUUGAUAUGAACAAGGGAGGUAACUAUGAAGCUACUGACCACACCUGAAGCCAGUGCAUUGUCUCUGAUGUUACAAAGGUCAAAACCUUUUUUCGGACGUCUCAUGUUUGUUUCCUGAUUAGAUUAAUGGGCGAUUCUGCUGUUU
This is a long non-coding RNA of Haliotis rubra (blacklip abalone), 224 nucleotides long. RefSeq lists it as uncharacterized. Lineage: Eukaryota; Metazoa; Mollusca; Gastropoda; Lepetellida; Haliotidae. The record is from RefSeq and is a predicted model, not a curated record. The transcript has 3 exons.